Long non-coding RNA from Mauremys reevesii (Reeves's turtle), 390 nucleotides. RefSeq lists it as uncharacterized. The record is from RefSeq and is a predicted model, not a curated record. The transcript has 3 exons. Lineage: Eukaryota; Metazoa; Chordata; Testudines; Geoemydidae.
AAGCAGUGGUAGAUUAACCACAGAUCUCAUUGACCCGUGGGUCUAUAGCCUGGCUGGCAGGGCAACCAUUGCCAAUAUAACUUAUUUCCACAGAGGUACUUGCCUCUCCAUUCCAACACUGGCUAUGAUUCAAGAAGGGAACUGGCUCUUCUCCACAGUAUCCAGGAAUGCAAGAUCUUCGCUUUACUUUGAUUCAGCCUUAGUAAAGAGUGUUUCCCCAAUUUCUUCUGAGUCUGCAAUGAAGUAACUCUGAUGCUAGCAGUUCAUGUCGAGGUCCCCAUGUCUCAGCUGACCACUGACAAAUAUAUAGCUGGAAUCACGUGUGUUACCAUUGUUAAAAGAAGUAUGAAUUAUAAGAAUGUGUUGAGACUUUACUGAAUGCUUGUCAGU